CGUUACAGAGAACCCCAAACAACCCAAUCUGCUAAUCUCCAAUACCGCUUUGUACUUACGAUCUUAUAUCUACUGACUGUCUUGUUAGAUUAACCCAAUAAAUUUCAUUCACUCCGCAUACUCAAUCCUAUAGACACCCUUUUAAUUCUUCAAUCACAGACGUAACUCGAUUUCACAAAACAGUCAAGAGUAAUCAAACCCACUUCAUUAAAAAAUCCCGAUUCACUAUUACAACACUGACUUCAGCAACAAUUGCCUCACUCUUCCCAAAACUCUAUGAAGAAGAAAAAUCCAAUUCUCCGUCUUUUCUUCCCCGACCCGAAGCAUGAAGCUCCUCUCCAAUCCCCUUUGAUCUUCAAAAACCUCCAAUGAAACUGAACUAGUAACCUUGAAAAAAAACUUGAAGCUAGCUCUUCGAUCCAAAAAACCCCCCUAAAACUUAUUCUCCCC
This 450-nucleotide long non-coding RNA is filed under the name Physcomitrium patens. RNAcentral describes it as "long non-coding RNA (PPAT_LNC013963)". The record is from RNAcentral. Lineage: Eukaryota; Viridiplantae; Streptophyta; Bryopsida; Funariales; Funariaceae.